GUAUUAGUGUUUUGAUGACGGAAGUGGCACCUCAGUCAUCAUGACAUGAAACAAUGACCUGUGCUUAUUAGUUGCUUUUUAAUGGGACAUUAAAACACUUCAUUUAAUUAAUAAAAAUGGCAUUAUUUGGUGACCUCAUAUUCUGAUUGUCACCAAUGUAAUCGUCUUUAAGCAAUUGGACAUGAAACAAUGUCACAGGCUAUGAUGUGUUAAUUACAUCUCAUUUUUUCUAAACUUGAAUGUCUUAUCUUGAAUGUCAACUGUUAAUUGUUUCCGUAGUCUGUUAUUAAAGUAAUUAAGUAACAGUU
RNAcentral lists this long non-coding RNA (308 nucleotides) under Bos taurus (domestic cattle). RNAcentral's name for it is "long non-coding RNA NONBTAT019217". Lineage: Eukaryota; Metazoa; Chordata; Mammalia; Artiodactyla; Bovidae. The record is from RNAcentral.